Non-coding RNA from Lupinus albus (white lupine), 583 nucleotides. Lineage: Eukaryota; Viridiplantae; Streptophyta; Magnoliopsida; Fabales; Fabaceae. The record is from the annotation of a GenBank genome assembly.
UUCAGUAACACUUUUGGUCAAAUGUACUGGUUCAUUUGCAGAAACAGAUUUUGGAUCUGCACUUUCUAUGGUAAGAGUAUACAGGUCUGAAAAUCUAGGCAGUUUUGACGAAACCACUAAACCGGUAGUGGUGAAGGAUCCCUGAGGAUAAGUAAUCAGAAUAGCAUUUUUCUCCUUAGUGUGUAUGAUCAGCUGCAACAGCACAUUGAAGAUAACAUACGAUAUAAGAUGAUGCAGACAAUGAGAAAAUCCCUGUUCUCAGGAAACUUCUUCUUAUAAAACUGAGAAAACAGAGCAAUGACAAUUAUGAUGGUCCCAAUCAACAUCUUCACAUUGCUCAAUCUAACAUUUUCCACGUACCCACUACUCUUUACUAUCUAAACAGACUCAUCGAUAAUGUGUUUGAUUGAAUUGUGAUCCAAAAGAUUGACUUUCUUUGGAGCUUUAAAAGAAGCCAUUUUUCUUAUUUCUUCUUCACUUUUGAGCUUAGCGUUUUUCAAAUAAAACUCUUACUGCAAAAGUGCAAAUGGCUACUGUAACGUGUUUAAUUAUAAAUACCUUUUACAUUAAAGAAAGGUUUUUU